CCUACGGGGGGCUGCAGUGAGGAAUCUUGCGCAAUGGGGGCAACCCUGACGCAGCGACACAGUGUGGAGGAUGAAGGUCUUCGGAUCGUAAACUCCUUUUAUGAGGGAAGAAUAGAUGACGGUACCUCAUGAAUAAGCACCUGCUAACUACGUGCCAGAAGCAUCGGUGAUGCGUAGGGUGCGAACGUUAUCCGGAUUUAUUGGGCGUAAAGAGAAGCGUAGGUGUUUCUGUAAGUCUUUAGUUAAAGACCACGGCUCAACCGUGGAGCAGCUUUGGAAACUACAGAAAUUGAGACAGGAAGGGGCGAAUGGAAUUCCCAGUGGAGCGGUGAAAUGCGUUGAUAUUGGGAGGAACAUCAGUGGCGAAGGCGAUUCGCUGGUCCUUGUCUGACACUAAGGCUCGAAAGCGUGGGUAGCAAAAAGGCUUAGAUACCCGAGUAGUC
This 443-nucleotide ribosomal RNA is filed under the name uncultured bacterium. RNAcentral's name for it is "bacterial SSU rRNA". It matches the Rfam family "Bacterial small subunit ribosomal RNA", at positions 338 to 795 of the family's 1533-position model. The record is from RNAcentral.